UACGUAGGGGACGAGCGUUGUCCGGAUUUACUGGGCGUAAAGAGCGCGCAGGCGGUCGUUCAAGUCGGGUGUGAAAGCCCCCGGCUCAACUUGGGAGGGUCAUUCGAUACUGAUCGACUGGAAGGCAGGAGAGGGAAGUGGAAUUCCCGGUGUAGUGGUGAAAUGCGUAGAUAUGCGGAGGAACACCGAUGGCGAAGGCAAUCCCCUGGACCUGUACUGACGCUCAUGCACGAAAGCGUGGGGAGCAAACAGG
Molecule: ribosomal RNA, 253 nt
Filed under: uncultured bacterium
Lineage: Bacteria
Description: partial 16S ribosomal RNA
Rfam family: Bacterial small subunit ribosomal RNA
Source: RNAcentral